GUGCCAGCAGCCGCGGUAAGACGUAGGAGACGAGCGUUGUCCGGAUUUACUGGGCGUAAAGCGCGCGCAGGCGGCCCCGCAGGUCGGUUGUGAAAGCCCCCGGCUCAACCGGGCGGAGGCGAGCGAAACCGCGGGGCUGGAGGCUUGCAGAGGGUGGUGGAAUUCCCGGUGUAGUGGUGAAAUGCGUAGAGAUCGGGAGGAACACCCGCGGCGAAGGCGGCCACCUGGACCAGGCCUGACGCUGAGGCGCGAAGGCCGGGGGAGCGAACGGGAUUAGAUACCCCCGUAGUCC
RNAcentral lists this ribosomal RNA (292 nucleotides) under uncultured bacterium. Its description in RNAcentral is "partial 16S ribosomal RNA". It matches the Rfam family "Bacterial small subunit ribosomal RNA", at positions 505 to 796 of the family's 1533-position model. The record is from RNAcentral.